UUUUUAAGAUGGGAAUGUCCAAGAAAAGGAAGGUUAAAGACUUUGGGACAGGAUGUUUUGUUUCAUGAUCAUUUUCUGCAGGGGGAUGGGGAGAGAUGACAGGCCAUCUUAAUCCCACUUAAUUCCUGAGAAUUCUUCCCUGAUUAGUCACACUCCAAGCCAGGGAAAGGUCUCCUGUUAUUCCUGUGAAACAAGGAAAAGUGAUAGCAGUGCAUGCUCCUGUGGAAAUGCACAUACAUUCCUGCCCUUUAUUUUCUAAUUCAUGGAUGAAAAGUGACUGUAAGGAUCAGUGUGAACAGAAGCAAAAAGAGCUAAAUACAGCUGACAGCUACUGAUGCAUAAGUAAUACGUGAGUAUUAUGGCAGUUUGUCAUAGAGUUCAAGGAUUAAAUAGAGUUUCAAAAUUAUGUGUGACAAAAAAAAAUUGAUACUAAAUUCACAGAAUUAAAGGAAUCUUCAGGUAGCACCACAUCCUGCACCACCAUAAUCAAUGGGAGAUUUAUCAGACCCAUCAUUGCCCACACUCUGGGACUGUGGGCCUAAAGCAAGGACAAACCUGUAGUAACUAUCUCUAUCAAAAGUUUUUUCCAAGAACAUUGCAGUAUACUAGGUGGCAGAAUUUGGAAACUGACACAUGCCCAAAUUUUCAAGAUGAGUAAACACGUACAUUGAAGUUUUGAGAGACAAUACAUACAAUGUGAUCCAUUUCAAAGCAGGUCAGUAUGAAUACAAAAAGUAGAAAAUGGCACUUGUUCAGAGACUGAAAUUGUACAGUAAUCCUAACCUCUCUAUGAUCCGUUCUAACAGAGGUGUCAAAUAUUCCAGUUUUCACAAAUCUUGGGGAAAUUAUGUCAAAGGCUGAAGACACAGUAAGGUGUCUUUGAUACAUAACUAUUUAUUUGCAAAUACUAACAAAAAUAUCUUUCCCUGAAUAUGAGGAAUUCCUCUACCAAACCUUAUUAAACUUACUGGCUGAUCUGAUAAUUCCUGAAGAUCUUUUUCAUCAAGGAUGUAUUUCAUCUGAUUCUGUGACAAAUGAAACUUGGUGUCUACAUAUUUCUAGCUCUGAAACAGAUUUGAAUUUUUUGGGAUGGGAAACUAACUCUGUUUGAGAUCUCUUGUAGUUUCAACUUAAACCAUAAUUUUACACAAAUGCAAAGAUGCAAAUGCAGAUAUUAUCUGGUGGGUUUUUUCCAUACUGCAGUCUUCUUGCUCAAAUUUUAAAAAAAAGGGUAAAUCAACUUUCAGUCUGCUCAGAAACUUCCCCUUCCUGCUCCCCAUUUAUUUCUCUAAUUUUUUUCCCACAUCCUGACAUGUUGAGUGGUUUGCGGAUCUACACAGUCCACAGGAGUCUGAGCAACCAAAGUACAACAAGCAGGACAAGUUUUGGGGACAGUGUGACUCUUCGGCCAGGAGCUGGACUUGAUGAUCCUUGUGGGCCCCUUCCAACUCACUGUGGUCCCAUAAGUCAGUCACAUCUGAAGAAAGGAGACUAACUCCUUCAUGGAUCAGCACGACCUCCUGGUGAUGGGAAUGGUGUUGUCUCAGUUCAAGCUCCUGUGUGUAAACUCACUGCYGAAGAGAGGAUGCUCCUUCAGAAAGCACUUGACUGGCAGGAAGCGUUUUUCUGUCACUGGAUAUCUUUCCUGCCAAACCCCCAAAGGCUGAAGAAGGAUUUGCAGAAAGCUGCAGACAUUCAGCUGCACUGCAUGUCUUCAAAUAUCCCAAGGAAGAGACACAAACCACAUAUGAGAUCAUUGGCAGGGGAUUCCUGGAACAGAUCCUACACAAGUCUGAAGAUGCACAAG
Molecule: long non-coding RNA, 1807 nt
Organism: Malurus melanocephalus (red-backed fairy wren)
Lineage: Eukaryota; Metazoa; Chordata; Aves; Passeriformes; Maluridae
Exons: 4
Source: RefSeq, a predicted model, not a curated record